GUUGCUGUUGUGUGGGUUGUAAUUGAUGAAAACAUAUCCGCGUGCCUGAUCAAUACAAUGAAACAGUGGGUUCCAGUCGAACAUCGACAGCAUGAAGCUUGGCAGGGUAUUGGCGAGAAACAUUUUGCCCGAAGCUAUCAUAUUAGCACGCUG
The sequence is a non-coding RNA, 153 nucleotides long. It matches the Rfam family "Ruegeria cis2 sRNA". Rfam says of the family: Cis-encoded. Targets ABC transporter.